This 32260-nucleotide long non-coding RNA is filed under the name Zea mays. RNAcentral describes it as "long non-coding RNA (ZMAY_LNC001506)". Lineage: Eukaryota; Viridiplantae; Streptophyta; Magnoliopsida; Poales; Poaceae. The record is from RNAcentral.
AAAACAGAAGGCGAACGACGAUGUCAGUACCAUUCUGGUAAGGACGCGAUUCGGCAUACCAGACUGGCGAAGUCACGCGUUGGGCGUAUCAUAAUCGCAAAAAGCUCUCCACGCUCUGAAGAAGCAACGGCGACGCCUCCGACGACGAGCACAGCUGCCCAGCCCAGCAAACUAGCAGCGCCCUCGUCAGUUCCGUCUCGUUCCCAACCUCUCCCGGAUUCGAUUCGAUUGACCCGUCCGCUCCAAAUCGAAUCUAAUCAGCAGUUUUGGAGUUGCGGAAGGGAGAAAGAGAGAGGAGAGGGGCAUGGAUCAGGUGCUCAACAAGGUGGGGAGCUACUGGUUCAGCAAAAGGGCCAGCAAGGAAAUCGACUCCAUCGGCGACGACAUCAGCGUAAGUUCCCGCCUCCUUCCUCCUCCUGCCGUGCGCGCCUCGUAGCAACUGGGUUCUUCACCUGCAUUGCUUAGCCUCCCAUAGUAACCGAGGUUCUGGAUCUGGCCUCUUGGUUGUUGGGGAUUCCUCCGUCGCUACGGGAUUUGCGGCGCAGCGGGUAGGGAUGUAGAAUUUGGGUUAUAAUCAGGACUCAGGAGCGGACUGCGGGAGCCAACUUAAUUUUGGAAUGUUGCUCGCUUCCAUGAGUUAAUGGAGGAGCUGGAGCAAUGAACGUCAAGUCAUCGUGACGAUAAAUGCAAAUGGGAGUGGGAUUACACUGGUUUUUAGGAAGUUGGGUUGGUCUUGGUCAUCAGUGUGGUUGCUGCAGAUUAGUUCAACAGAUUCCUUAACAAAGCAUCAGAAUCAGAUUCGCUGAUUCGUAUCUUGAAAUGGCUUUGCUUACUAUGCAUGGUUUAUGUUACAUCUGGCCUUUGAGUUGCCCUUAGCUUGAGUUGAUUAUGCUUUUCUUCUAUUGGUUAAGCAUAACUUGUGUAUGGCUUGUGUGAAUCUGCCUGGAGCAUUUUUUUAAUAACCGAAGCAUUUUGGAAUCAAAUUUCAAUAACACGGGCUGUUUGGAUCCCUUCAUAUUGAAGUAAUUGGAUGCCGAAUCGCGUCCUCACCAGAAUGGUACUGACAUCGUCGUUCGCCUUCUGUUUUGGUCUUCGUAGCUUCAUCCUCGGAUUAAGGCCUAGUAAUAACUCGUUGCGGACACUUGUGCCCUUGCCGUUGUGCCUCGUUCUCCUCUCGAGCCUUCUCAGCCUGUAGUUCUUAGCGCUGCCGCCGUCGCCGCCAUGACUCCGCCACCGCAUCCCACUUUCCACGUGACGAGCUCGGCCUGCCAUCCGGUCCCUGGCGUCGCCUCCUCCGGUCUGUAUUCAUCUGCAUCAGGCUCUGUUCCGGCGAGGUGGUGCUCGGAUUCGUCGUCGCCGCAUCAGCUCUUGAUCCGGUCCAAACUGUCGACAUGAGUAAACUUCAAGCAGUUUGUAACUCAAACAAAUAACAGAACACACACUAGUUCACAAACAGUACAAGCAAACGAGUUUAUGCAGGUUCACAAACAUCCAGUUUCACAAACACCAGUUCACACAUCCAGUUACACAAACACCAGUUCACACAUCCAGUUACACAAACACCAGUUCACACAUCCAGUUUCACAAACACCAGUUCACACAUCCAGUUACACGUACUUGGAAAGGACACUGCCCAGUUACACAUACAUUAGACCACAUCAAAUCGCUCAGUUCACACUAGGAUUGGGGACUGCUGAUGUACUGCCAACUUCUUUUGGAAUCCAUGCUUCAGUGGUGUUCCUUCUAGGCUUCCUUGUUCUAAAAAAAAGACAUGUGAGAGUUGUUUUAAUCAAUUUAAAAUAAAAGAAAUAAUUUGUAGUUCCUUGCCUUUUCUUUGUUCCAUUGAGCACACACUUUGGGCUAUUCUUCCUAUGUCCUAAUUCACCGCAAUUUGGGCACUUGAAUUUGCCUCUAAUCAGUUUCCUUUCCUUCUCUGUUUCACCAACCUUUGGUUUCUUUUUGCUACCACCUUCAAGGAUUCCCCGAAUUCUAUUUUUCCUUUGCCGUCCAACCGCUCUUUUCCCUAAAGGAGCAUGCAUUUCCUCGAACAUGGCUGCCUUAGGCCAAAAAGACUUGUCUCCUAGUUGUUCUAUCAUUCUUUCAUAAGCCUUCCUGAACUUUUGAACUGAAAAGUAUUCGUCCACGAAGUCCUCCAUCCUCACAUCUUUAAAUUGUUGCGCUAUUAUGACCACUAGACCAUGCUGACACGGUUUGCCUGUGUGCUGCCAUUCUAGGCAAGAACAGUAAUGUUGGUCUGCCUUCACUAUGUGUCUUGAAUGGAUGUUGUUAAUGUCUCGAACCUCAGCUGAAUAGUGGUCACCUUUGACAAGUGACAGGUGCCCUAGACCCCGAGUCCUUGCCUUCAAAACAUUUAUCACACUUGGUAGAAUCUUCCCAGGUAGCCUGUCACCUAUCCUCCUACGCCUAAAAAAAAGUUCCAUGACCAUCACCCUAAUCUUGUCUGCAAGUUCACAAACUGGUAGGUCCUUGAAGUCUUUGAUCCAGUUGUUGAAUACCUCAGCGAUAUUGUUUGUGAUGUAGUCACACUUGAUGGCUUGGUUGAAACAGCUUCUGUACCACAGCAACCCAUGCCAGUCUUCGAGCCAUUUGUGCACCUCAGGGAUUGCUGCAACAUUGGCAUAAUGGUGUUCAAACACCUCAGGUCUGUAGGCCCGUGCUGCAGGGUACAUGUGCUCGGAUCCACCAAAAUGUUUGACAUAGUUCUGCAUUAAAUGCCUAAAACAUUCCCUCUUCUCAGCAUUAGGGAACACAUGUUCCACAGCAGCAGUCAACCCUUUGCAAGCGUCGGAGCAAACCGCAAGUAUAGGAAGGUCUCCAAUAGCUUUUCGUAGUUGUGUCAUGAACCAAGUCCAACUAUCUUUGGUUUCAGACUCAAAAAACCCAAAUGCAAGAGGAUACAUCCAAUUGUGCCCAUCAACACUAGUAGCUGAAGGUAAAUGACCAUUCCAUCGACCAUUCAAUGCAGUUGAGUCAACACUGAUAUAUGGUCUGCAUCCCUCACGAAAUCCUUGAAGGCAUGGGCCAAAAGCACAAAAGAACCUGCUAAAAAAUAUCUUGCCAUCCUCAACACGGACAUCAAUAUCAAUAACUGAAUCUGGCAUUUUCUCCAAUACAGCUUCUUUCCAUCUGAGUAAAAGUUGGAAGCUGUCCUCCCAACAUCCAUACAACUCACGCAAAGCUUUCUCUUUCAUAUCCUUAUACAGACUGCCAAUCUUCAUUAUAGGAUGGAGUUGUUACCCCUUUAUGAAUAUCACCGAGGAUGGAGUUCACGGGGUGAUCUCGUUGUAUCACUUGGUGGACUCUUGGGUGUGGCAGUCAUUGACCCUGUAUCUCCUGAUCAUCUUCCUUUACCUUAUUGACUUGAUCUCCCCCUUGAUCAUUGUCCUCCUCUUGAGGUGGCUCAUCCUCUUGAUCUUCAUCAUUAUCUUGAGCCUGUUCCUCAUCUUGUGUUGGUGGAGAUCCUUGCAUGGAAGAUGACGGUUGAUCUUGAGCUUGUGGAGGCUCUUCGGAUUCUUUAGGACACACAUCCCUAAUGGACAUGUUCCUUAGCGCGACGUAUGGAGCUUCUUCAUCAUCUAGCUCAUCAAGAUCAACUUGCUCUACCUGAGAGCCACUAGUCUCAUCAAACACAAUGUCACAAGAAACCUCAACUAAUCCAGUGGAUUUGUUGAAGACCCUAUAUGCCCUUGUGUUUGAGUCAUAACCAAGUAAAAGCCUUCUACAGCCUUAGGAGCAAAUUUAGAUUUUCUACCUCUUUUAACAAGAAUAAAACAUUUGCUACCAAAGACUCUAAAAUUUGAGACAUUGGGCUUUUUACCGGUGAGGAGUUCAUAUGAUGUUUUCUUGAGGAUUCGGUGAAGGUAGAGCCGGUUGAUGGAGUAGCAGGCGGUGUUAAUCGCCUCAGCCCAAAACCGGUCCAGUGUCUUGUACUCAUCAAGCAUAGUCCUUGCCAUGUCUAGUAGAGUUCUAUUCUUCCUCUCCACUACACCAUUUUGUUGAGGUGUGUAGGGAGAAGAGAACUCAUGCUUGAUGCCCUCCUCCUCAAGAAAGCCUUCAAUUUGAAAGUUCUUGAACUCCGUCCCGUUGUCGCUUCUAAUAUUUUUGAUUCUCAAUCCGAACUCAUUUUAAGCCCAUCUCAAGAAUUCUUUUAAGGUCUCUUGGGUUUGAGAUUUUUCCUGCAAAAAGAACACCCAAGUGAAGCGAGAAUAAUCAUCCACAAUUACUAGACAGUACUUACUCCCGCCGAUGCUUAUGUAAGCAAUUGGGCCGAAUAGAUCCAUGUGGAGUAGUUCCAGUGGCCUGUCCGUUGUCAUUAUGUUCUUAUGUGGAUGGUGUGUACCAACUUGCUUCCCUGCUUGACUUGCGCUACAAACCCUGUCUUUCUCAAAAUGAACAUUUGUUAGUCCCAAAAUGUGUUCUCCCUUUAGAAGCUUGUGAAGAUUCUUCAUCCCAAUAUGGGCUAGUCGGCGAUGCCAGAGCCAACCCAUAUUAGUCUUAGCAAUUAAGCAAGUAUCAAGUUCAGCUCUAUUGAAAUCAACUAAGUAUAGCUUACCCUCUAAUACUCCCUUAAAUGCUACUGAAUCAUCACUUCUUCUAAAGACAGUAACACCUAUAUCCGUAAAAAGACAGUUGUAACCCAUUUUGCAUAAUUGAGAAACAGAAAGGAAAUUGUAAUCUAAAGAAUCUACAAGAAAAACAUUGGAAAUGGAAUGGUCAGGUGAUAUAGCAAUUUUACCGAGUCCUUUGACCAAACCUUGAUUUCCAUCCCCGAAUGUGAUAGCUCUUUGGGGAUCAUCAUUUUUCUCGUAGGAGGAGAACAUCCUUUUCUCCCCUGUCAUGUGGUUUGUGCACCCGCUAUCAAUGAUCCAACUUGAGCCCCCGGAUGCAUAAACCUACAAAACAAAUUUAGGCCUUGUUCUUAGGUACCCAAACGGUCUUGGGUCCUUUUACAUUAGAAACAAGCACCUUGGGUACCCAAACACAAGUCUUGGAGCCCUUGUGUUUUCCCCCCAACAUAUUUGGCAACUACUUUGCCUGAUUUGUUAGUGAGCACAUAGGAAGCAUCAAAAGUCUUAAAUGAAACAUGUGGAUCAUUUGAUGCAAUAGGAGUUUUCUUUUUAGGCAUUUUAACAUGGGUAGAAUGCCUAGAGCUAGAAGCCUCACUCUUAUACAUAAAAGCAUGAUGGGAAACAGAGUGAGUCUUCUUAGCAUGAAUUCUCCUAAUCUUGUGCUCGGGAUAACCAGCAGGAUAUAAAACAUAGCCCUCGUUAUCCUGAGCCAUGGAAGCCUUACCCUUAACAAAAUUGGACAAUUUCUUGGGGCAUUAAGCUUGACAUUGUCUCCCUGUUGGAAGCCAAUGCCAUCCUUAAUGUCAGGGUGUCUCCCAUUAUAAAGCAUGCUUCUAGCAAAUUUAAAAUUUUCAUUCUCUAUCUCAUGCUCAUUAAUUUUGCUAGUUAGUUGUGCUAUGUGAUCAUUUUGUUGUUUAAUUAAAGCUAGGUGAUCAUGGAUAGCAUCAACAUUAAUGCCUCUACAUCUUAUGCAAAUAGAAACAUGAUCGACAGUGGAUGUAGAGGGUUUGCAAGCAUUUAAUUCAUCAAUCUUAGCAUGUAACAUGUCAUUCUCAUCUCUAAGAUUGGAAAUAGAAGUAUUGCAAACAUUCAAUUCCUUAGCUUUUGAAAUUAAUCUAGCAUUUUCAAUUUUAAGGCUAGAAAUUGAUUCAUUCAAUUUAUCAAUUUUAGCAAUUAAACUAGCAUUAUCAUUUUUAAGAUUGACAGUUGAAUCAUGACAAACAUUUGAUUUUUCAACCUUAGCAAAUAAAUCACCAUUCUCAUUCCUAAGGUUGGAAAUGGUGUCAUGGCAAAUGCUAAGCUCCUUAGUCAAAUUUUCAUUCUUUUCUACUUCCUGAGCAUAAGCAUUCUUUACCUUAACAUGCUUUUUAUUUUCCUUAAUAAGGAACUCCUCUUGGCUAUCCAAGAGUUCAUCCUUCUCAUGAAUAGCACUUAUCAAUUCAUUUAAUUUUUCUCUUUGUUGCAUGUUAAGGUUGGCAAAAAGAGCAAGCAAAUUAUCUUCAUCAUCACUAGAGCUACCCUCAUCACUAGAUGUUGUAUAUUUAGUGGAGGCUCUAGAUUUUACCUUCUUCUUUUUGCCGUCCUUUGCCAUGAGGCACUUGUGGCCGACGUUGAGAAAGAGGAGGCCUUUGGUGACGGCGAUGUUGGCGGCGUCCUCGUCCGAGGAGGAGUCGCUGGUGCUUUCAUCGGAAUCCCAUUCCCGACACACGCGGGCAUCGCCGCCCUUCUUGUAAUAUCUCUUCUUCUCCUUAUUCUUCCCUCUCUUGUCGUCGACCCUGUCAUUGUCACUAGAAAUAGGACAUUUUGCUAUAAAGUGACCGGGCUUACCACACUUGUAGCAAACCUUCUUGGAGCGGGGUUUGUAAUCCUUCCCCCUCCUUUGUUUGAGGAUUUGGCGGAAGCUCUUGAUGAUGAGCGUCAUUUCUUCGUUGUCGAGCUUGGAGGCGUCGAUGGGGAGCCUACUUGAUGUAGACUCUUCUUUCUUUUCUUCCGACGAUUUGAAUUCGACGGGUUGCACCUCAGGUGUGGAGGUGCCGCCUUGCUCGAUGAUUUGUUUGGAGCCUUUGAUCAUCAACUCAAAGCUCACGAACUUUCCUAUCACUUCCUUGGGAGACAUUAGUUUAUAUCUAGGAUCACCACGAAUUAAUUGAACUUGUGUAGAAUUACGAAAAACAAGUGAUCUUAGAAUAACCUUGACCAUUUCAUGGUCAUCCCAUUUGGUGCUCCCGAGGUUGCGCACUUGGUUGACCAAGGUCUUGAGCCGAUUGUACAUGGCUUGUGGCUCCUCUCCUUGGUUGAGGAUGAAUCGACCGAGCUCCCCCUCGAUCGUCUCCCGCUUGGUGAUCUUGGUCACCUCAUCCCCUUCAUGCGCGGUCUUUAGCACAUCCCAAAUCUCCUUGGCACUUUUUAGCCCUUGCACUUUAUUAUACUCCUCUCGACAUAGAGAGGCGAGGAGUACAGUAGUGGCUUGGGAAUCAAAGUGUAGGAUUUGGGCGACCUCGUCCGAGUCGUAGCCUUCAUCCCCCACGGAUGGUACCUACGCUCCAAAUUCAACAAUGUCCCAAAUGCUAGCGUGGAGUGAGGUUAGAUGGUGCCUCAUUUUAUCACUCCACAUACAAUAAUCUUCACCGUAAAAAAUCGGUGGUUUGCCUAAUGGGAUGGAAAGUAAAGGAGUGCGUUUGGAAAUGCAGGGAUAGCGUAAGGGGAUCUUAUAAAACUUCUUGUACUCAUGGCACUUAGAAGUGACGAAUGGAGCGUCGGAGUCGGAGGUUGAUGGUGACGAAGAAUUGGUCUCGUAGUAGACCACUUUCUUCAUUUUCUUCUUUUUAUCGCCACUCCGGUGCGACUUGACGCGAGGAGGUGAUUCCUCCCUUCGUUUGUCGCCGGACUCCCACGAUGGAGCCUUCCCAUGACUUGUGGUCGUUUCCAUCUCCCUCUUGGCGAAUCCUCCCAACAUCACUUCGAGUUGUUAGACUCUAAUGAAGUACUGGGCUCUGAUACCAAUUGAAAGUCACCUAGAGGGGGGGGGGGGUGAAUAGGCGGAAACUGAAAUUUACAAACUUUAAGCACAACAACAAGCCGAGGUUAGCGUUAGAAAAUAAAUCGAGUCCGAAAGAGAUGGCGAAAACAAAUCACAAGAAAUAAAGCGAGUGACACGGUGAUUUGUUUUACCGAGGUUCAAACCUACUCCCCGUUGAGGUGGUCACAAAGACCGGGUCUCUUUCAACCCUUUCCCUCUCUCAAAUGGUCACUUAGACCGAGUGAGUUUCCUUCCUGGAUUUCCCAGGUCACUUAGACCCCGCAAGGACCACCACACAAUUGGUGUCUCUUGCUUUGCUUACAAGGCUUUGAGAGUAAGAAUGAGAGAAAGAAGAAAGCCAACCAAGCAACAAGAGCAACAAAAGAACACAAGUCAAUCUUCUCACAAGUCCUAAAAACUAGAGUUGAAUUGUGGACUUUGAUUUGAUCGGAGGCUUUGAUUUGUGUCUUUGAGUGUUGUGUAUUGCUCUUGUAUUGAAUGAGGAGUAGUGAAUGCUUGGAUGCCUUGAAUGGUGGUGGUUGGGGGGUAGUUAUAGCCCCAACCACCAAAACAGCCGUUGGGGAGGGCUGCUGUCGAUGGGCGCACCGGACAGUCCGGUGAGCCAGCCACGUCACCCAACCGUUAGGGUUCUGACGGUUUCGACCAUUGGAGCUCUGUCAGCUUGGGCACCGGAUAGUUUGGUGCCGCACUGGACAGGCACUAUUCACUGUCCGGUGCGCCUUCUGGCGCAUGCUCUGACUCUACGCGAACUGUCUGCGCACUGUUCAGUUGUCAGUCGACCGUUGAAGUCGACCGUUGCGCUGGCGGCCGUUGCUCCGCUGGCACACCGGACAGUCCGGUGACCCACCGGACAUUCCGGUAAAUUAUAGCGGAGCGUGGCCUUAGAAACCCGAAGGUGAAGAGUUUGAAGUCGAUCCACCCUGGUGCACCGGACACUGUCCAGUGCGCCAGACUAGGGUUUACUUCGGUUUCUUUUGCUCCUUUCUUUUGAACCCUAAAUUAGAUCUUUUUAUUGGUUUGUGUUGAACCUUUGGCACCUGUAGAACAUGUAAUCUAGAGCAAACUAGUUAGUCCAAUUAUUUGUGUUGGGCAUUUCAACCACCAAAAUCAUUUAGGAAAAAGGUUUGACCAUUUUUCCCUUUCAAUAGCCAUUUGAGAUCUUUGAGACAAAGACAGAUGCAUGUGGUUCAAUAACUUAGGAGGUUGUGUGACAACUCAAUUGGUCUGACUUUGCGUGUGUCGCUGUGGCACCUCGCGAGGUUUAUGGCGCAUAGACAGCACUGACUGACGGCGUUUGUGGGGACCGACCGUCUCUUCUAGAACAUUUGAAACUGAUGUGUUGACUACAUGACAGAAAGGAGCUGCUCAAGCCUCAAAAGUGGUGUCCCGGCCCAAAAGGAUUCAUGGGCUUCAUAGUGGAGUGACACGAUAGCUUGCAAGUUGCAACACAAUUCAUAUGGUCCGUUACAGCCCAGACCUGCGACAGGCUAACAUUUCCCCCGGAAGGCUGUAUAAGAGUGUCGGCGUUUCGACCCCGGGGGGUCCCUGGACCGACGAGUAAAUUGUCGCUGCGUGUCCCAGCCUAGAUGGGUCGGUGCGAGAUGGAACACAAGGGGGAAAAAGGGAACCACAGCUCAUGUUAUCCUGCGCCCAGGGCGGAUGCGCUUGCAGUAGGGGGUUACAAGCGUUCGCGAGAGAGGGGGAGAGCCUGCUCGUCAGCCCGUCCUCCCGCGCGGCCACCUCCUCGUACGAGGGCCCUGGACCUUCCUUUUAUAGAUGUAAGGAGAGGAUCCAGGUGUACAAUGGGGGGUGUAGCAAUAUGCUAACGUGUCCAGCAGAGAGGAGCCAGAGCCCUAUGUACAUGCUGACGUGGCUGUCGGAGAGGUGCUAGUGCCCUGUGCAUGUGACGUCGUGGCCGUCGGAGGAGCGUUUGAGCCCUGUAGAAGCACAGCUGUCGGGGCUGACGGGACCUUGCUGACGUCUCCUUGCUUCCGUAGGGGGCUGAGAACCGCCGUCGUCACGGGAGCACGCGAGGUGUCAUCAUUACUUGUUUACCGGGGCGAGCCACAUGGGACGCCGGUCUUGUUCCCCGUAGCCUGAGCUAGCUAGGGGUAGGGUAAUGAUGUACCCCUGUGUGGCGUGGUCAGCCCGAGCCCAAGGUCGGGCGAGGCGGUGACUCCUCCGAGGUCGAGGCUGAGCCCUAGGGUCGGGCGAGGCGGGGACGGUCUUCCGAGGUCGAGGUUGAGGCCGAGCCCUAGGGUCGGGCGAGGCGGAGACCGUCUUCCGAGGUCGGGGUUGAGGCCGAGCCCUGGGGUCGGGCGAGGCGGAGACCACCUUCCGAGGUCGAGGUUGUGGCCGAGCCCUGGGGUCGGGCGAGGCGGAGACCAUCUUCCGAGGCCGAGGCGGGGGCCGAGCCCUGGGGUCGGGCGAGGCGGAGACCACUUUCCGAGGUCGAGGUUGAGGCCGAGCCCUGGGGUCGGGCAAGGCGGAUCUUCCUGUUGCGCCUGAGGCCAGACUUAGCUGUUGUCAGCCUCACCCUGGCGAGUGGCACAGCAGUCGGAGCGGGGCAAGCGGCGCUGUUUUCCUGUCAGGUCAGUCAGUGAAGGGGCGAAGUGACUGCGGUCGCUUCGGUCCUGUCGAUUGAGGAGCGCACGUCAGGAUAAGGUGUCAGGCGGUCCUUGCAUUGAAUGCUCCUGCGAUACGGUCGGUUGGCGAGGCGAUCUGGCCAAGGUUGCUUCACUGCGAAGCCUGCCCGAGCUGGGCCUCGGGCGAGUCGAGGGUGUGCCCAUUGCUUGAGGAGGCCCUCGGGCGAGGCGUGAAUCCGCCUAGGUCUACUGUUCCUGCCCGAGGCUGGGCUCGGGCGAGGCGAGAUCGUGUCCCUUGAGUGGACGGAGCCUUGACCUGAAUUGCGCCCAUCAGGCCUCUGCAGCUUGUGCUGAUGGUGAUUACCAGCCGAGUUUAGGAGUCUUGGGGGUACCCCCAAUUAUGGUCCCCGACAAAGAGCAUCUCCAAGAGUGCCCUAAACAGGUGCCUUAUAUUGAAUAUAGGACAAUAUUCGGAAAAAAUGGAGUCCAACAGUGUCUCAUUUUAAUUAAUUUUAUAAAAAAAUAAUAGGGCACAAUUCCUAGUGUCCCAGAUAUGAGGCCUUGAAACAGACUGUCCUUAAAUGGAUGUCAACCGAUUGAAGUUUCAUCUAUUCCUAGUGUCCCAGCCAUAAACAAAUCAGCGCUGCCAUCGUGACCUUCCCAUCCCCACCAGUGUUGUCGCCGCCCUGCCCCUCCCCCAACGCUGACUCCCUGCCUUGCAACCGGCACCGCCCCGCCCUGCCCCGCGAGUUCGCCGUCGCAGUAGCCGACUCCCUGCCCUGCCACCGACAUCGCCCCGCCAUGCCCGCGAGUUCGCCGUCGCAGUGGCUGACUCCCUGCCCUACCACCGGCUUCGCCCCGCCCUGCCCGCGAGUUCGCCGUCACAGUGGCCGACUUCCUGCCCUGCCACCGGCACCGCCCCACCCUACCCCGCAAGUUCGUCGUCGCAGUGGCCGACUCCCUGCCCUGCCACCGGCACCACCUCGCCCUGCCCGCGAGUUCGCCAUCGCAGUCGCCUGCAGAGCGCCGCGAGUUCCCUGUCUUUGCCUGCCCAGCGUCGCUGCACCUCCUCGUCGCCCCGUGAGUUCACCGUCGCAGUUGCAUCUUCUCCAUGCCUCCUCGGAUUCUAGCAUGAUGGACCGAAGGCCAGCGCAAAAAUCCCGUCGGUCUGCAUUGAAUGCCGCCAUAGGUACGAUUUCUGGAGGCUGGCAUCCAUCGUCACAAGAUAAUCGUCGCAGCCCCACGAACGACAGUCAUGCAACACAUGCAAAACCUGAAGCUUCGUCGGUAGCUGCAUCUGUGCAAAACCCUCUAGACAACAGCAUUGAUGCCUCGUGGAUGCUUCCUGAUUACAAGUGCGUAUUUUUACUUUAUCUGUUAAACGAUUACAUACAAGCAAAUUGAUUUUUUUAAAUAAUGUAGCAGAUAAUCAUAAAGUAGUACAAUAGCAUACUACCCUCCCAAGAUAACUGAUGAAAAUGGUUAUAUCUUAAAUUUGUGCAGCAUACUACCCUCCCAAGAUAACUACUAUAGGAAUCUGAUGAACCAAGAUGAUACAGAUAAUUUAGGCUCGGAGGAUUACGUGCAAGUUGAUCCUCUUGUAGCUAAUAUGAAUUCCCAGACAAAACCAAAGGGCCUCUCAAAAAAUUUCACUGAUGAUGAGGACAUUCUACUGUUGUCAGCGUAUCUCAAUGUUAGCAAAGAUCCUAUUGCUGGAAGGGACCAAAAAGAUGGCAGAUUUUGGGAAAGAAUUGAAAAGUAUUAUCAUGUCAAUUUAACAUUUGAAUCGCUCUUCAUUGCAUCAUCGAUGGGGUAUAAUCCAAAAGAAAGUAAGUCUUUCCAAAGUUACUAUGAAGCCAUACAAAGGAAGAAUGAAAGUGGAAAGACAAUGAAUGACAAGGUACACUUUUAUACUCUUAUGUUAUGCGUUGCUUUUGUUCACAUAGCAUAAAAUGGUUGUGUGGUUGACAUAUGCAUUUUAUUGUAGAUUGCUGAUGCUAAAGCUAUGUUCCAAACCUUAAGAAAAAAGGCUUUUACUUUGUUUCAUGCUUGGAAUAUUCUUAGACACGAGCCAAAGUGGUCAUCAAUAAAGGACUCCACAAUGGCUACCAAGAAGCUAGAUCCUCACAACGGUAAUGAAGAUGAUGGACAUGACACCCCUAGACCACCAGGAAGGAAAGCCGAGAAAGAUAAAUUGCGAGCACGAAAGCGAGAGGACAAUGACAAUGAUGCAUUGAUGGAAGAACUAAAAAAAUUAGAGAGUCAAGAUUGGAGAUAGAAAAUGAUCGUAAUGCACGAGAAGACAAGUUAUUAGAGCCGGAGAGUAGUAAACUUGAUCUUGAGCGUGAACAACGUGACGACAAGGUGAUGAGAACCGACACAAGUACAAUGGAUGAUGAGUCGAAACAAUAUUUUAAGUUAGUGAAAGAGGAAAUUUUGGCGCGAUGUUUUGGGAGAAAGCAAGAUUGAGGGGUCAUGUUAUUAGAGUUGCUUUUAGUCAUACUGAACAGACUUGUAUUUUUUCUGUCUCUUCAAUAUAGUAUUUUUCCUGAAACGACUACAAGAUCUGUUUCCUAUAUAGUAUUUUUUUCGCUGCCAUUGUUUCCAAUUCUUAUCCAUUCACUGAUAUCUUCAACAUAGUGCACACAUGCGUACAAUAUAGAGAAAAUGUUAUGAACAAAAAUUGAAAUGAACAUGUUCUAAACACAACAUAAAAAAAUUAUUGUUCUCGUUUAUUUGACCUGUACGCUCCCAUAGAUGAUCAACUAAGUCUGACUGGAGUUGUUGGUGAAGGUGAGAAUCUUUGAUGCCUAGGCACAUCUGACCAAAUGAUGCCUAGGCACCACAAACUAUGGCAAAGCGAGCCUGCAACACUCCAAAUGCACGUUCAACAUCUUUCCUUUGUAACUCUUGGGCUUUAGUAAAAUUUUGGUCCUUUACAUUUGCCGGAACCUUCUUACUUUUCACAAAUGUUGACCAAGAAGGAUAAAUCCCAUCAGCUAGGUAGUACCCCAUAUCAUAGUCGUGCCCAUUGAUUUUAUACUUAACUUCUGGGGCUUCACCGGUAGCAAGUCGGUCAAAAAGAGGAGAUCUAUGUAAAACAUUAAUAUCAUUUUUUCACCCUGGUAGACCAAAAAAGGCAUGCCAUAUCCAUAAAUCGGAAGACGCAACUGCUUCUAAUAUAAUUGUUGGUUCUUUUACAUGGCCGUAGUACAUACCCUGAUAAGCUGUAGAACAAUUCUUCCACUUCCAAUGCAUACAAUCAAUGCUACCAAGCAUACCAGGAAAUCCACAUUGUUCAGCAAUAUUAAGCAGCCUAGCUGUGUCAUUAUUAUUUGGGCCCUCAGGUAUUUUUUGCCGAAAACCUCACAAAUAGCUUUGACAAAUUUCCGCAGACUCUUAAUAGCAGUGCUCUCAUCAAUCCUUAUAUACUCGUCAACAUAAUCUGCUGGAACAUCGUACGCUAGCUGCCUGAAUGCUGUUGUUACCUUCUGUAAACAAGAACACCAUCGGACAUCAGCAACAUUUUGUUUUUGAACAAAAUACUCGUCAUGCUCCUCAACGGUGUUAGCUAUCCUUUUGAAGAGGCGGUAACUCAUGCGAAAGCGACGCCGAAAAUACUUCUCAGGAUAUGUCGGAUUCUCGUCAAAAUAAUCAUGAUAUAAUUUUAUAGCGCCUUCUUCUCUACUUCGAUCAUAAACUUUUUAUCCAGGAAUCGAACCUCCAUGCCUUUUACGUUGUCGACGCAUCCUCUGUCGAUAUUCAACAAUCUUAAUAGCCAACAAGUCGUCGAGUUCAUCAUCUAGAUCGUCGUUCUCGCGAUGAAUGAUUCUUCUCAACAUUCCCAUCAUAUUUUCUGUAAUAUGUCAUUGAAUAAGAAGAAAAUGAUUGUGCGUCAAAAUGGUUACGUCGAAAUCUAUUAAAAAAUCAUCAUGGUCAUCACAUCUAGGCGGUCAACAGUAAUGAAUAAACAAUGAUAGAGGCGACGAGUGAUUGAAUAAUCAUCCUGUACCUUUACUGAUGUAGAUCGUGCAGAUACAUGUGCUUGAUCUGACGCCACAAGCUAGGUAGCCGAUCGGAGGAUGGAAGAUGCAUGCAGCCAAUUGCCAACGAGUUGUGAGCAUGCAGAUACAUGCAGCCAAAAGCAAAUGCACGCAUGGAGAUAUGAGCACAACGGUGGUAGGGAGAAGGCGGGAGAAACGAAAACAAAGCAAAAGAGAGCACACCGAAAAAAUAUCGUGGGGACGGUAACAACCUAAGCGCAACUGUUGGAGCUACGCAAUAUCGUGAGCCCUAAAUCAGUUUAAAUAAAGCCCGUUUUUAAUUUAUAGGUCACUGUUGGGAUCCUUCGUCUUCCGAAGGUCCUCAAAAACAUGACUAACAAUGUUUCCCAAAGCAUAAUAUAUGUGCAGGAAUCUUCAGACAUGGGAUGAAGUUGUACACAAUAUGGAAAGCAGGGUCAGAACGAAGGUUGAACUAGUGCUGAAGCUGUGCGCAAGGAAGCUUUGGCUCAAUAGCAGAAAAAGGAACCGACUUAAGGAGGAAAAGACUAUUUAGUCCUCGAUAAAUUGUUCUUAAGUUAAUACUAGAUAUGAAGGACAUGAAUGUAAUUUUGCACAGGCUGCGUCAUGUGCCUAUAAAUAGAUGAACAGUACCCCCGUAUUGUUCGCGCUGACCUGUACUCACUCGUGCGAUGCUUGUAUUCAAACCUUCUAUCGAGCCGAAGGUACAAAUGUAGUUCAAUAUUGUUCUUAUUCUUCCAUGAUUAUAUAAUAAAGAUAUGUAAAUAAUGUUGUGUGAUUAUUCAUGUUAUUCUCUCAUGUUUCAUAUGCUUCUCCUUUUAUCAAUGUAAACUGUGAUGAUGAAGGUAUGUCCUUCAUGACCUUCGUCCGGAGAUCGUUAUAUCCUAAGGGAAAUAAUGCUUCGAGGGACGAAAGACAUUAACCAGUAACUUCUUUCUGUGUUGCCUUGUUCUUAAUUCAUAGCAUUUGAGAACAAGUCCCCAACAUUGGCGUCCACCUCCGGUGUACUCACUUCCACAACCUUCGGCAAAGUAUCGUCCUUCGUCAUGCCGCCGAAGAAGAUAACAGCGCCAGCGGCUGCACUGCAGCCACUGGACACAAACCAGGAGACUCUCUCUCUCUCUCCGAGAGGCUCGAAGCCAGAAGAGAAAGGCCACUAGUCCAAUAUUCUAGGAGGAGGAGUUGGACCAGGAGAUCAGGGACAUGAAAAUCAUUCACCAACAGGUGCAAAGGAAGAUCGAUGAAGCUACUGAGGAAGUGCAUCAUCUUACUCAAGAUGAUCAAGACGGAAGGCCCCAACACAGGGAGCUUCAUCAAGAGGGCUUAUUCAACGAAGAUGGAUGGUACGAUGAUUUUAAUCAUGAUACCUUUACUUUUGAUGAUGCUUCUCCCUUGGCAGCAGAAUUGCAGGCUAUCCCAUGGCCACAAUCCUACAAGCCACCCCAGCUACCCAUGUACGAUGGGCACUCAGACCCAAAACAAUUUUUGAUGAGCUAUGAGGCAACAAUAUCCUCAUACGGAGGCAAUGCAGCUGUCAUGGCAAAGUCCUUCGUCAUGGGAGUCCGGAACGUAGCCCAGACAUGGUAUUCUUCCCUUCGGCCAGGGACUAUCACGUCAUGGCAGAAGCUCAAGGACAUGCUGGUUACCCGUUUCCAAGGCUUUUAGACGAAGCCAGUAACAGCUCAGGCCUUGUUCCAAUGCACGCAAGACCAUGAGGAAUACCUUCAGACGUAUGUCCGAAGGUUCUUGCGACUGAGAGCACAAGCGUCCACAGUGCCCAAUGAAAUUGUCAUUGAGGCCAUGAUCAAGGGUCUUCGGCCAGGACCUACGGCUCAAUACUUCGCCAGGAAGCCACCACAGACUCUGGAGAAGCUGCUUCAGAAAAUGGAUGAGUACAUCCGGGCUGACAACGACUUUCGCCAAAGAAGGGAGGAAGCUUACUGAUUCUCUGAGAUGACGAGGGGCUUUGGAGGAAGAAUCCACCAAGGCAUGUCAGAUCAAUCCACAACUCCAGUCAGAAUGAUGACAAAGGAAGCCAGCUUCAGAGGCCACAGUACACCUCACAGUCUUUGGGGCAGCAGCAAAGCUCCUUCAGGCCGCCAGCUCCAAGGGGCAGAGGCGCCAAGGGCUUCGGAGGAAGAUAUGGGGAUCAGCCCAGAAAAAUCUAUUGCUUAUUAUGUGGUGAGGACAAGGGCCAUACUACAAGAAUGUGCCAAAUCACUAUCCUGAAGCAAAAGGAGAUCACAGAAGCCAAAGCUUGGCAGAAUCAGCCGAAGUAAGACUUGCACACUGCUUCGUGCCACUCUCCUUACAUACCAGAAUAUGUGGGCAAUCAUCCUACAGCUUCUAUUGCUUCGGCUAGCCAUUCACAGGCUUCUUGGCCUCAGCUCCCACCGCCACCACCACUGCAACUUACCUAUUCCAGAAGCCAGCAGCCAGAAGGGCGCCAGCACUCACAACAGCAACAUCAAUUCAGGGAGGAAUCCGAAGCUCGUACAGUCAACAGUACUGUGCCAGAAUCAAAGCACAUUUAUUAAGCGAUAUCCUGCCUCUGAAAUACUUUUAUGUUCUAUGUCAUUUUGUUUUUUAAUAAGGAACAAGCAAUGUAAAUUUAGUUUUAAUUUCUUGUAAUGAUUUUGCUUCUAUCAGAAUGAAAUGUAUCUUCUUCACAGACUUACGAAGCUCAAAAAUUGCCGAAGCUCAAAAGUCGUUCCUAAGGGAAUGCAGAGCUAAAAUUGUUAAAGCUCAAAAGUCGUUCCUAAGGGAAUACAGAGCUAAAAUUGUCGAAGCUACAAAAAGUCGUUCCUAAGGGAGCACAGCGUAAGUUUUCUGCUCAAAAGUUGUUCCAAAGGGAAUGCAGAGCCAAAUACCGCCGAAAUAUAAGGCGAAGAAGUUCAAAAGACGUUCCUAAGGGGAUGCAGAACUUAUACCACCGAAAUAGAAGGCGAAGAAGUUCAAAAGACGUUCCUAAGGGGAUGCAGAACUUACACCGAAAAAUAAACAGUGAACACCGAAAAAUAAACGGUGAAGAAGGCUCAAAAGACGUUCCUAAGGGGAUGCAGAGCUUUUGUGUUCCAGUGUGGGCGUGUGGGUGUGUGUCUUCGGCAUCAGUAUCAUUUUGCAUCAUAUCAUCACAUCAUUUCGCAUAGCAUCACAUCAUACAUCAUAUCGCAUCAAUGACACGAGAAUCAAACACGGAGUUGAUCCUCGGCGAACGCUUCGCAAAUUUGAAAAUGUGCUAAGGCACGAAGCAGGCUUCGUGAAAUACAGCUUCAUCAGCCUUGUCACAAAAGAAGGGAUCCCUUUUUCCGAAGAAGGGAUAUUUUUACGAAGCAUGGAUCUUUUUCUUUAUGAAGCAUGAAAAGAAGGGAAUGUGUUUUUUCACCGAAGGCUCAAAAACGGUAUGUAUAUAAAGUUUCAUGCAUCGCAAAGAAAUGAAUUACAAUAAUUUUACAUAUUCGAUUCAAAGCUAUACACAUCAAAUAUUAUAGUCUUGUUACAAUAAAGGUACAAUGACCAUUCUAGUGUCUCAUACAUUGACCAUCUCAAAAUGUUUUUACAAUAAGUGUUAUUCCUCUUUAAGGACUUUCUCUGCAACUUCGUGCAGUAAUUUGUUAACAACUUCAUCAACAACGAAUUCAACCAUGUUUAUAAUGUCCAGCGCUUCCUUCAUUUCUGGAUCCGCUAGGGGAUCGAACGGUUCCGGCGACGGAGAUAAUUCAGCUGAAGUAGGAAAAAGUUGAUCAGUCUGAAGCCAUAAAAACAAAUGCCGAAGCUAAAAGCCAAGAAACAAUACCUAUACGCUUCUCGCACUCAGCAGCUUCUUCAGCUUGUCUUGCUUCUACUCGGGCGUCAUGGGUGUCUUUUUCACUUUUCUUUAUAAUUUCAUGGGCCAUCUCUCGGCCACCAUUCACCCAGAUAUCAUUGUAAAAUCUCCCGCCCAUCAAGCUUGCUUCAGCUGAAGGAUCCUUUGUAUUAUCUACGGAGAAGGCAGCUUCGGCCUGGGCCAUGGUCUUGAUGUGAUCACAUCUCGCCUUCUCCAAGAUAGCUAAAAUUCCACGCGCACCAGAAAACGCGCAAAUAUCCCUGCGAUCACUCAAAAUUUCUUCGAAGGUCUCGGCUUCUCCACUUAUCCAUUCAAUAACACCUUCAGGGUCGCCUCGUAUGAAAUUUUCUUCAGAAGAGUAGGCACCCACUUUGGCAAAGCUAGCUUUUAUUUUAUUUACGCAAUCCAAUGAUUUUUCAAAACACCUUUCCUUGGAUGUGUGAAGUUCUUCAACAUUCUUCUCUAGAUGAUUUUUCCAAUAUUCGCUGAUUUCUUGGUUAGCUUUUGCAAGUGCGCAUUUUUCUUUAGCUUCGGCCAGUUGCCUUCGAAGGUCUUCGAUUUCAAUCUUUUGGGCUUUGGCUUGAGCUGUGAAGCUAGCUUCGUCUUCUUUCACUUUGUUAACCAGAGAGAUUAAGAUUUUGUCUUUUUCAAGACCUUCGUUUCUUAAUUCAAUCACCUCUGAACGAAGGUUGUUCAGAGGCAUCGUAUAGCCUUCGUCUUCGACAUUUUUCAGCGCCCUAAGGGCAUUACAAAGAUUCAAGCCCUGCAAGAGAAGGAAAGAAUUGAGUAUGACAAAUGAAAUACCUCAUUUUCAAAAUUCAAAGUUAACUUUCAUACCUUUAUGCUAUUGUAUGCUAGGCUGUCAGCAAGUUCAUCCUUCGAUAAAAUCGAAAGGCCGUCUUCCAGCUUUGGGAAUCCGAUGCUUUUACCAAUCUCCCGGCAAACAGAUAUUUCUUUGUCAUCCGGGAGACAGUAUAGAAAAUCUUCUUCGCCACUACCAUUGAACACUAAUGCCCCCUUCGGAUAUUUCAAUUUUUGGGCAUAGUGUCGUGCUUCUAGCAUUUCUUCUUGGGAUAGUUCUUUUCCCGAAGCGUGACAAAUAAUAUAGUCAAUGUCUUUGUUCAGAGCUUCGGGAGCAAGAGCUUCGAUAUUUUUAGAUGCAAUUUGCUCUGUCGCCUUUUCUUCAGAUGCGGCAGGCUUUGUCAUGAUGGGCACUGAAGGCCCAGCUUCGGUUUCUACUUGCCUAGCUUCGGUUUCAGUUGGAGCGACUUUCUUCAUAAAAGUAGGACUCAAGGCCUUCGUCGUUUCCAGCACAACAUCCAGCACAUUCGCCAUCCUCCUCCUCUUGGGAGUUGCGGCAGAAGCCUUUUGUACCUUCGGUAGUGUUGCCUUUGUUGGAGGGCUCAAAAUUUCUGGCAUUUUCACUAUUUCUUCAAUUUUUGACUCUUCAGCCCUACCAAUCUUCGUCUCAACUAGCCCGACUGUAAGCACCUUUGGCAUUACAGUCGAUUCUUCAGUGAUCUGCGCAGUCGGAACAGUUUCUUUUGUUUCGGCAGCUAAAGAGGUCCCUUCACCAAAUUCAGGUAUCACGAUCGGUUCAAUAUAGCACGGCCGGUGAGUCAGAACCUUCAUCUUCUUGCCCUUCGGCUCGACUGUGAUGACCGGAGCGGCAGUCUUCCUCUUUUUUCCUUACCCUCGCAGUGGGUAUCAAUAAUCAGGGUAUACGAAGCCAAUAGCAUCAAAUACCCUGUUCAAUCUUUUCUUCUUUCGACCCCAAAAUCUGUGGACAAUGCAUUAUCCUCGGCCUUGGAGUAUGCCCCAAGUAGCUCGUCGCUAGUAGCUUCAAUACACUUCAGCCAGUCAUCAUUCAGCUCAUCAAACUUCUCCCCGAAUCUGAAGGUAUAUUUUAAUCGGACCAAACCACCUUCACUAGAGUCGACAGUGGUCUCUUUUGGCAUCUCCCAGCUCUCCACAAGUGGCCAUACCCUGAAGGCUAUGUGCUCUUGAAUUAAAUCUCUUGUGCCAAUAAAGGAGCACACAAUGCUGAAAGCCUUCUAACACGCUUCGGCGGCGUCAUCAAUUUCGACCUUCGGCCUAUAGAGGCCGAAGCGGGACCAGAUGGGGCGCAUGAUGAUUUCUUUAAUGUCUUCCCUUGCCUUUAAAUCAUUCUUCACAUAAAACCACUCUUCCAUCCAGGCUCCGGGCCAUCUCUUUCGAAACAUUGGCACCAAGUGGCUUGCGUUGGGGCGAGCGAUAAAUCCAUAACAACUGAAGUUGUUGUGGUACUGUUUUUUACCAAUGGUCUUCGUCUCAUAUAAAAGUUCAUGCAUACUACAGAAGCACUUCGCGCUUGGCUCUAGCCCUUGACUCCUUACUGCCCAGACAAAAAUCCCCAUCCUCAAUAUAGCUUCGGGGGUGAUCUGAUGAAGGAAGAUCUGGUAGAUUUUCAUCACUUCAACUACAAACAUGCUCAACGGGAACCAAAGUCCAGCCUUGAAGAAGCUUCGGUAAAUUACAACUUUGUUUUCCUCAGGAGCAAGGACGUUGUUGUCUCCACCAGCCUCACGAUAGACAUGUCCCGAAAGUACCUUCCUCUCAUGUUCUCAAGAUGACUCUAUUUAAUGGUCGAUUUUCUGAAGACAUUGUGGCUUGGUCGCCAGGGCCGUUCUUCAGAAUCUUCAUCUCCACUUUUCACGUCAUAGCUAUCGCUGUCACCUGUAUCUUCAGACAAACCUUCCAGCAUCUCUUUAGUAAUCUUUUCUGUGUUUGUUUUUGCCAUGGAUUCAAUGAAUCCAGUAUUAUAAGGAUUCGCAGCCUUCUUCUCCUUAAAUAGCUUCGUCUCCUCAGUCAGCUUCUCCUUCUCAGUCAUUUUUCCCCAGACAUGGUAAAAACGUGUCCUUUAACCGAAUCUCAGAAAACUUGAAAAUCUAGCGAGCGCUAGUGAGCAAGAGCCGAAAGUUUGAGAAAAUAAUGCGAAUGGCAGAAACAUCGUAUCAAAUACAGCAGGGGUGAGUUCAUAUUUAUACGCCUAGCACGCUCCAACUUGGAGGGCCCCGUCUAUCAUUGAUUGUUGCUAUUCUAGCAAAGGGAAGGUGUUUUUUCGGACCUUCGGCUUAAGGCCUUCGUUCACGUCGCAGUCUGGAUUCGUUAUUAUAACAAAUUGAUACUGCGAGGGCUAAUGUUGGAGGCCUUCGUCUUUCGAAGGUCCUCAAAAACAUGACUAACAAUGUUUCCCAAAGCAUAAUAUAUGUGCAGGAAUCUUCGGACAUGGGAUGAAGUUGUACACAAUAUGGAAAGCAAGGUCAGAACGAAGGUUGAACCAGUGCUGAAGCUGUGUGCAAGGAAGCUUCGGCUCAAUAGCAGACAAAGCAACCGACUUAAGGAGGAAAAGACUAUUUAGUCCUCGAUAAAUUGUUCUUAAGUUAAUACUAGAUAUGAAGGAAAUGAAUGUAAUUUUGCACAGGCUGUGUCAUGUGCCUAUAAAUAGAUGAACAGUACCCCCGUACUAUUCACGCUGACCUGUACUCGCUCGUGCGCCACGCUUGUAUUCAAACCUUCUGUCGAGCCGAAGGUACAAAUGUAGUUCAAUAUUGUUCUUAUUCUUCCAUGAUUAUAUAAUAAAGAUAUGUAAAUAAUGUUAUGUGAUUGUUCAUGUUAUUCUCUCAUGUUUCAUAUGCUUCUCCUUUUAUCAAUGUAAACUGUGAUGAUGAAGGUAUGUCCUUCAUGACCUUCGUCCGUAGAUCGUUAUAUCCUAAGGGAAAUAAUGCUUCGAGGGACGAAGGACAUUAACCAGUAACUUCUUUCUGUGUUGCCUUGUUCUUAAUUCAUAGCAUUUGAGAACAAGUCCCCAACAGUCACUAUUAUGAGGCAUACUGCUGGAGAUGCUCUAAGACCAUCUUCAAGAGAGGCAUCUACAGACCCAAUCUAAAAAUAGGUUUUUAAGCUGGUGCCAUCGGUUUUGUUGGUGUCCUCAUUUUUACCCUUAGUCGUGUUUUUCCUCACUUUUGUCCUUCUGUUCUAUAGCACUAUAAGCGCAAAACUGAGCAAAAAACACAACUAAGGAUAAAAGUGAGGAAACCAGCAAAACCAAAAAUACCUCUCCUAUGUUGAAAUAGCAGGCUCCAACAAGUAAGUUAUUUUUGGUAGGCCCAACGCAUCCAAUACCUCUCCGGACGAAAACAUCAUUCUCUACGUCCUUGACAUAUCUCGUUCCUAACCAACUAUCUUCCUACUUCGGUGCACUGGAGGAAGGGGUGGACAGCGUGCUGGGCGUGGAAGGCACGACGCAGCCAUCGAGCGAGUCCAUCCGCUCGAAUCUCUUGGCGGCGUUCAGCUUUUUCAUGUUCAAGGUCGUGGGGAGUGGAGUGACUACGAGCGUGAAGCGCCCCAAUCCACUGGGACUCAAAUGUGAUACAAUUACUAGUCCCAGGAGGCUAGUAAACACAUUUAUACAUCAGAUAGUUCCAGAUCUGCUUAAAGGAGACAAACCUAUAAAGGUGGCGAUCAACUUUAAGAGUUGGUCCACAACUCGGGAGAUAUCAUUAGAGUGGGGCUGAAGCAGCUUGAUAUAUGCAGCCAAGCAAAUCAGCGGUCCAACAACCACAUGCAAGGUUGGGAACAGACGUAACUCUUACCCGAUCAACGAUCUCCUUCUCUAGAAAACAAAAAAAUAAGCAAGGGUAAGUACUUACGUACUCAGCAGCCCACCUUCACUUAUGGAAUGGGGAAAUCAGAUAUAAUGCAUGGAGUAUGUGGAGCUCACGAUAUUUUGCAGAAAUAGCAAUAUUUGAUGCAAGGUUAUUUUGUAAAACAUUUUAUAUUUUUCAAAGCUCAUCCUCUCCCAAAGGAGCAGGAAGUUUUUUUAAUAUAGAACAAAAUCCCCUGGACUAAACCAUCCAGGUAUCUCAGCAGUUUCCCACUUGUUUUCAUUUUCAAAAACAGCUACUGGACUUCUCGUCCACCAUAGCUCACGGCUCAACCACUGGACCUUUUAAAACCACUUUUCAAAAGCAUUUUUGGAAAACCAAACACUAAUUGUCAAAUCCAUGCCAUGACUCAUCCAUAUUCGUGGACGUAGACUAUUCGAAUAGUUUUUUAACUCUACGCAGAGGUGUACACUUUACGCACUAGUCCGGUUUCUGCAAUCUCACCGUCGUGAGAUCCGAAUGUCGAAACUCUCUCUUUCCUUGCAUGUCCUUACCUUAGCGAUUAUACUAGAAGGAACAAGACCACACCAUGCCAAAAUCAGACAAAACAUUCCCCUUCCUUAUCCUCCCGGUGCUCCCCAGUUGUCAUAACCCUGGGGUUCGGACCGUGCAAGUUCAAAUUGAGCGACCGCCCAUACAGUCUCGAGUGGUUGUACUUGAUAAGAGUAUAGGUAAGGAGUGAUGACAAACCGGUCCUUAGGCGAGAGGGACAAUCCUUCAUGCUCACACCUAAACCAGUUGAGCCAUCACCUUAGGCCCUCCCCUAAACCAGGGGGUCCUUGAUUAUCCCGCUCAAAGGAGAUAAGGGUGACAACCCUUCAUCAUACCCAUUUUGAAAAAUAUUUUCUUUUGAAAACUCACACCUUUUCUUAAAUCAUUUGUAACAAAUAUGUCAAGGAGUAUAAAGAUUAAUUGCGGCAAAGUUCUAAGGCUGGGUGGCCAUAAUAACGUGUCUCUUAGCAAAAUCAUAUCAUGCAUAAAAUAACAGGCUGAGGUUGUGGUUGAAAAAGUAUAGGUAAUUUAUGCAUCAAAGGGAUCCAGUGAGCUUGCCGUUGCUUUAACCGGCGAAGGGGUGAGAGCUCGCGGAACUGGCUUCUGGCUCCACCACCUGGCGUAGACUUGCAGAUCUGGCCUUCACGAGUAGACACGAACGCUCUGAUAACUAUGUAGCAUGAACAAGCAAACAUACAAACCAACAAGUAUAUCAACAAAUAUUUAGUAUAGUGGUCAGAAUGGCGAUAUAUGGAUGGGUAGAGUCUUGAGCAGAAUCUGUGUCAUGUGGUGUUGUGAUAUUACUGGUGGCGGAGUGGAGGUGCUUACUAGGAGGGUGGAUUGGAGGCGAAGCGACACUAUGCGCGUAGCCGGCAGAGCGGGGUAACCGAGUGGGUAGGGUGUUUGCCUUGGCUGGGGGUGUUGAGUGUGUGGAGAGGGAGAGGGUAGCUGGGUGUAUGUGGUGUAGUACAGUAGAGUUUACUGUUGGUGAGAAUAGUGACGAGUGAAUCGUCUAACUUAGCCUGAACAUGGGAAUUAUAGGUGGAAUAUGGGACAAGAGUAUUUUGGGAGACUUUUGGAAUAUGAACCAUGCUUACAGGAUGACAUGGUUGGAUACUGAAUAAUUUGAUAAGAAUUCAGAAACAAGAAUUAUUGGAAUCUAAAUUUGGAAGCAUGGCUCAAAAGAAUCUCAAAGUUAAGCGUGCUCAACUUGGAGAAAAUCUGGGAUGGGUGACCAGAUUGGAAGUUCUUACUGGAAGGAAAAUCACAGUCACCGGAGUUCGUAUGACUGGAAUAUUGGUUUGGCAGGUCUUAGUUGAGCUAGACAGCAUGAUGGAUGAGCAGUUGAAAUUUGGGGUGACUGGAUGAUCGAUGAAUAGUAACGGUGAAUAGUGACAAUGAAAUAGUAACGAUAAUGAAUAGUAACAGUGAAUAGUAAUGGUGAAUAGUCGUAUGAACGAACGAUGAACGAUGAAUAGUGACUAUGAACGAACGAUGAACGAUGAAUAGGGACUAUGAACGAACGAUGAACGAUGAAUAUGGACUAUGAACGAACGAUGAACGAUGAAUAUGGACUAUGAACAAUGAAUAGGGACUAUGAACGAACGAUGAACGAUGAAUAGGAACUAUGAACGAUGAAUAGGGACUAUGAACGAACAGACAAAUGAUUGAAUGAUCGGACGAACGAACGAUCGAAAUUUUGGCAGCAUAACGGCUGAACAAAGAUUAUUUGGAUAAACGAACCGACGAACGAUCGAACGAUCGGACGAACGAACGAACAAACUAAGAACAGGUGGACGAACGAUCGAAGAACGAUCGAACGAUCCUUGUGCUAGUGUGUGCUUGUGUGGGACUUGGAGUGGGCGUGUGGGGGGUGCAAGAGUUGCCAUGAAAUGGCUUGGGUGGCUUGAGAGGAGGCCCUUGCCCCUCUAUUUAUAGGCUAGGUGGGGGGAUUAGGGGGAGGAGGCGAGGAUUAGUGGAGGAUGCGACGAUUAGUGGGAGAUAAGCAUGUAUUUGUCUUGUAUAAGUGAAAUUAGCUUGUAGAGCUCACUUUAUGACACCGGAGGCGUACGUAUACGUAUGAGCAUGAGAAAAUUAUGGGGAAAAUAUUUGUAGGGACUUUAAAAAUGAUUCUGAAGGUAUUUCUCAGGAGAAAAACAUUUGGAGAAAUAUCUAUGGAAUAUUUGGGCAGUACUUCUGGAAAGAAUCAGAGGGGAUCACUGGGAAAAUAUUUGUAGGAUAUUUUGAGGAGGAUUUUGUAGAGAAUAUAGACCACUAUAUUUUAUUUGUUGAGAUCAACUCGCAAACAAACAUUUUGAAAUGAAAAUUAAAAUUCGUUUUGAAUUUAGAGCGAGUUUGAGAAAAAUUCAAGAUUUGAAUUUUCAGGGUGCUACAGAGCGGCACAUGUGGUUGAGCGCGACUACUUUUCUGCUGAACUGGUGGCUGUGACGACGAGGACAAAGCAUCGUCCAGUGGUAGCAACGGCGUCCUAGCCAUCACCUUCGUGGCGUCGAACAACUUCGAGAUGGAGGCCUCGUAGCUCUUCACGGCCGACGACUUGAAGCUCCCCAACGACAGCAGGUUCUUCACCGCCUGCCUUACCAUGAAGGACGAUAAGCGCAAGGGCGGUCUGCUCGGUCUACGUAUACUGGAGCUGGAGGAAGAGGCGUGCAUGCUAGGGACGUUCACUACCGGAAUCUGGCUCUUUGCCGAGUCCUCGGCGCUUUGUCAAGUGCUUUCUAUCGGGCACUCGGCAAAGAAGUCUUUGUCGAGUGCCGCACUCGGUAAAGUCCUGCUCUCGAUAACGACCACGUUUACCGAGAGCAGGACUCUCAGCACAGAAAUACACCCGGCAAAGAAAUCUUUGCCGAGUGCCAAACACCCGACGAAUGACAGCUAAAAGUCGCCUAGAGGGGGGGUGAAUAGGCGGAAUCUGAAAAUUAUAAACUUAAGCACACACUACAAGCCGGGGUUAGCGUUAGAAAUGAAUUCGAGACUGAAAGAGAAGGGAAAAACAAAUCAACCAAGAAAUAAAGCGGAUGAACACGGUGAUUUGUUUUACCGAGGUUCGGUUCUAAAGAACCUAGUCCCCGUUGAGGUGGUCACAAAGACUGGGUCUCUUUCAACCCUUUCCCUCUCUCAAACGGUCACUUAGACCGAGUGUGCCUUUUCCUUAAUAUCCUGGGUCACUUAGACCCCGCAAGGACCACCACACACUUAGGUGUCUCUUGAUUCGAUUACAAAUCACUUGAGAAAGGAACACAAAAUCUCUCUCUCUCACAAGUCACUAGGUGCUUGAGUUGAAUUUGGGACUUGGAGAGGCUUUGAUCUUUUGAAUUGUGUCUAGGAGUGAAUGCUAGUGCUCUUGUAAUGAAUGUGAUACUUAUAAAUCUUGGAUGCUUGGAGUGGUGGUGGUUGGGGGGUAUUUAUAGCCCUCAACCACCAAACAACCGUUGGGGCAAGCUGCUGUCGAUGGGCGCACUGGAUAGUCCGGUGCGCCAGCCACGUCACCCAACCGUUAGGGUUUUGGAGCUUUUGAUCAUUGGAGGCUUUGUCUUCUAGUGGCACCGGACAGUCCGGUGCCGCACCGGACAUGCACUAUUCAGUGUCCGGUGCGCCUCUGACCGAUGGCUCUUACUCUGAGCGCACUGUUCUUCACUGUUGAUCUGAUCAUCAUGCUUUUGUAGUCGACCGUUGUGUGGAGUAGCCAUUGCUCCGCUGUUACACCGGAUAGUCCGGUGACACAUCGGACAGUUCGGUGAAUUAUAGUGGAGCGUGCCUGAAGAAACCCGAGAGUGGCUAGUUGGACUCUGUACGGACCUGGUGCACCGAACACUGUCCGGUGGCACACCGGACAGUCCGGUGCGCCAGACCAGAGCACAAUCGGUUUCUUUGCUCCUUUGAAUUUGAUCCCUAACUUCAAUCUUUUAUUGGUUUGUGUUGAGCCUUUAUGCACCUAUAGAACAUGUAAUCUAGAGCAAACUAGUUAGUCCAAUAUUUGUGUUGGGCAUUCAACCACCAAAAUUAAUAUUGGAAAAAGGUUAACCAUAUUUCCCUUUCAAUCUCCCCCUUUUUGGUGAUUGAUGCCAACACAAACCAAAGCAAAUAUAUAAAGUGCAGAAAUGAACCAGUUUGCAUAAGGUAAGUGCAUAGGUUACUUGGAAUUAAACCAAUUUAUAAUUUCACUAGAUAUGAAUGGAUUGCUUUCUUUUAUUCAACAUUGUGGACCACAUUUGCACCACUUGUUUUGUUUUUUCAAAUCUUUUUGGAAAAUCUUUUCAAAAUCUUUUGCAAAUAGUCAAAGGUAUAUGAAUAAGAUUGCAAAAAGCAUUUUCAAGAUUUGGAAUUUCUCCCCUUGUUUCAAAUGCUUUUCCUUUGAUUAAACAAAACUCCCCCUGAAUGAAAUUCUCUUCUUAGUUUUCAAGAGGGUUUUAAUAGAUACCAAUUUUGAAUAUAUACCAAUUGAAUAAAUUGUUAUCACAAUAUACCAAUUGAAAAACAAUCAUUUGUGAAAACCAAAUAAAUAUUCAUUUCAAAUUUUUGAAAUUGAUGGUGCGGUCCUUUUGCUUUGGGCUUAAUAUUUUCUCCACUUUGGCAUUAAUCGCCAAAAACGGAGAUGUUGAGAGCCCUUUUUACUUUCUCCCCCAUUGGUACAAGUAAAUAUGAGUGAAAGAUUAUACCAAUCGAAGAGUGGUGUGGAGUGACGACGAAGGAUAAAAGAUACCGGUAGAGUGGAGUGGAAGCCUUGUCUUCGUCGAGUACUCCAUUUCCCUUUCAAUCUACGACUUAGCAUAGAAAUACACUUGAAAACACAUUAGUCGUAGUUAUGAAGGAGAGAUGAUCAAAGGUAUACAAAUGAGCUAUGUGUGCAGUGUUUCAAUCAAAAUUCCGAGAAUCAAGUAUAUUUAGCUCAUUCCUAUGUUUGCUAAAGGUUUUCUCAUCUAAAGGUUUGGUAAAGAUAUCGGCUAAUUGUUCUUUGGUGCUAACAUAAGCAAUUUGGAUAUCCCCCUUUGUUGGUGAUCCCUGAGAAAGUGAUACCGAAUGUCUAUGUGCUUAGUGCGUCUGUGUUCAACGGGAUUAUCCGCCAUGCGGAUUGCACUCUCAUUGUCACAUAGGAGAGGGACUUUGCUCAAUUUGUAGCCAUAGUCUUCUAGGGUUUGCCUCAUCCAAAGUAAUUGCGCACAACAAUGACCUGCGGCAAUGUACUCGGCUUCGGCGGUAGAAAGAGCUACUGAGUUUUGUUUCUUUGAAGCCCAAGACACCAGUGAUCUCCCUAGAAACUGACAAGUCCCUGAUGUGCUCUUCCUAUCAAUUUUACACCCUGUCCAAUCAGCAUAUGAAUAUUCUAUUAAAUCAAAAGUGGAUCCCUUGGGGUACCAAAGUCUAAACUUAGGAGUAUAAACUAAAUAUCUCAUGAUUCUUUUCACGGCCCUAAGGUGAACUUCCUUAGGAUCGGCUUGGAACCUUACACACAUGCAUACGGAAAGCAUAAUAUCUGGUCGAGAUGCACAUAAAUAGAGUAAAGAUCCUACCAUCGACGGUAUACCUUUUGAUCUACAGACUUACCUCCAUGUCGAGGUCGAGAUGCCCAUUUAUUCCCAUGGGUGUCUUGAUGGGCUUGGCAUGCUUCAUUCCAAAGUUGUUAAGUAUGUCUUGAAUGUAGUUUGUUUCGCUGAUGAAGGUGUCGUCUUGGAGUUGCUUGACUUGAAAUCCUAGGAAAUACUUCAACCCCCCAUCAUAGACAUCUCGAAUUUUUGUAUCAUGAUCCUACUAAACUCUUCACAAGUGGAUUUGUUAGUAGACCCAAAAAUGAUAUCAUCAACAUAAAUUUGGCAUACAAACAAAUCUUUUGCAAUAGUUUUAGUAAAGAGAGUAGGAUCGGCUUUACUGACUUUGAAUCCAUUAGUGAUAAGAAAAUCUCGCAGGCAUUCAUACCAUGCUCUUGGGGCUUGCUUGAGACCAUAAAGCGCAUUUGAGAGUUUAUACACAUGGUUAGGGUACUCACUAUCUUCAAAGUCGGGAGGUUGCUCAACAUAGACCUCUUCCUUGAUUGGUCCAUUGAGGAAGGCACUUUUCACGUCCAUUUGAUAAAGCUUAAAGCCAUGGUAAGUAGCAUAGGCAAGUAAUAUGCGAAUUGACUCAAGCCUAGCUACGGGUGCAUAAGUUUCAUCAAAAUCCAAACCUUCAACUUGUGAAUAACCUUUGGCCACAAGUCGGGCUUUGUUCCUUGUCACCACACCAUGCUCAUCUUGCUUGUUGCGGAAUACCCAUUUGAUACCUACAACAUUUUGGUUAGGACGUGGAACUAAAUGACAUACCUCAUUCCUCGUGAAGUUGUUGAGUUCCUCUUACAUUGCCAACACCCAAUCCGAAUCUCUUAGUGCAUCCUCCAGCCUGUAUGGCUCAAUAGAGGACGCAAAAGAAUAAUGUUCACAGAAAUGUGCAACUCGAGAUCUAGUGGUUACCCCUUUAUGAAUAUCACCGAGGAUGGAGUUAACGGGUUGAUCUCUUUGAAUUGCUUGGUGGACUCUUGGGUGUGGCGGUUUUUGACCCUGUAUUUCUUAAUCAUCUUUCUUGUCUUGAUCAACUUCAUCUCCCCCUUGAUCCUUGUCCUCCUCUUGAGGUGGCUCAUUUUCUUGAUCUUCAUCAUCUUGAGCAUGUUCCUCAUCUUGAGUUGGUGGAGAUGCUUGCAUGGAAGAUGAUGGUUGAUCUUGUGCUUGUGGAGGCUCUUCGGAUUCCUUAGGACACACAUCCCCAAUGGACAUGUUCCUUAGCGCGACGCUUGGAGCCUCUUCAUCAUCUAAUUCAUCAAGAUCAACUUGCUCCACUUGGGAGACAUUAGUCUCAUCAAACACAAUGUCACAAGAAACCUCAACUAAUCCAGUGGAUUUGUUGAAGACUCUAUAUGCCCUUGUGUUUGAGUCAUAUCCUAGUAAAAAGCCUUCUACAGCCUUAGGAGCAAAUUUAGAUUUUCUACCUCAUUUAACAAUGUAAUACUCAAAAGUGUAAUAAACAGAAUAGAGAUAAUCUCAAUGGUUUGCGGCCUCUACUAAGUAUUGCAUGUGCUCAACACUAGUUAAAAGUGGAUGAAUAGAACAAUGAACACAUAAUUAAUCUAUGCAUCAUGUUGAGUUUUUAUUUGAUUGUGCAUUUGUGCUUAACAAAAUAAAUAUAUCAUUAACAACAUAUCAAUGGAUCCAUAAAAAAAAUUAAACUCUAACUUGGGAAUAAAACCAUGAAAAUAGAGAGGAAGGAAUAUUGUUCAAUACAAGUAAAAUUAUAAUUUAAUCACUUCAUCACAGUUGGUAUGAUCAAAAUAAAUAAUUAGGCAGUGUACAAAGUGCCACAAAGUUUGAAUUUGAAUUGAAGUUUGAAUUUGGAAAGAAGGGAAGAUAUAAAAAGAAAAGGGAAAAGAACCUACCUGGGCCUUGGCGCCCCAAUUCGGCCCAACUCCGAAUUACAACCCGCGCAGCCCAGCUUCUAUUUCUUUGCGCCGACAGAUGGGGCCCACUGGUCAGUCACAAGCCCUCUCGCGCGCACACUAGUUCGGAUCGCUGCUGGUGGGGCCGCCCAGUCAGCCUUUCACGCGCGCGUCGCCUUCUUCGCGCUUACGCCUCUGCGCCGCAGGGCCCACUUGUCAUCCGCGGGUUAGUGAUCGUCACCCUCGAGUCGUAACAGCUUGACCGAUUCCCUCGCGUGGCCGUCGGGAUGAACUCCGCGCCGCGAGAUUCAAGCCGGCGGACUCGGACUCCUUGGUCCAAUCGCGCGACCGUUUUUCCUUAUAACCGGGCCACCUUCGCCAUUGCUGCCCCCUUACCGUGGAGCGAUUGCAGUGAACAGACGGAGAGGAGAGAGAGAGAAAGAGGGCCGCCGCCUGUGGUUUUCAUCCGUGCCGACGUUCCGACCUCGGCGAGUGGCCAUCGGCGCGCGUCUGUGUCCUAGGAAGCUGACCGUGGCCUUGCGGUGGACCUUGCGCCCCAACGGUGCGGGGAAUUCCUCGCCGGAGUCUUCACCUCGGCCCCGAUCCGCCGUACGCCGCGGGUGGCACGUCUGGUUCCCGAAUCUGGUAAGUUUGGCUACCCAUGUAGUUCGUCGUGUCAUAUACUUCGCGUAGCACCAGUUAGGGUAAGAAAUGGACCUCCGCUGCGCCGGAUGGCCGACCUCCGGUGAGAACGCCGCUGUCGGCCAGAGCGGCGCCGCCAUGCACAUCUGCCCAGUUGGGGCGAUGAUCACGCGCCAUCGGAUCAGUGACGCACGGCCGAGAUUAAAACCCGCGCAUCCUUUCGAAGCAGUCUGGUCCGUCGAUCUCGAGUUAGUCGGCCGGGAUUUAAUGAUGUGUGGAGCGAGCGAUUGCCGUGGAUUCUAGAUCCAGUGGCCUCAGUUGUAUACCGUUUCGUUUCAAGCCGGUUAGAUCCUGGCCCUAGAAUUUUAAUCGGACGACCAGGAAUCACCCGUACCCCUUCGCGGGUCAGUUUUAUUAAAGAGCCCCUGAGAUUCCAGAGAAUCAACCCGCCAUCCACAGGGACUAUUCUCUGUGUCUCUGGAGUUUUUACCCCGAGCCCCCUGAGUUCUCUGGAAAUAGUGCGCCCAGCCCAGAACUUUAUAAAACCAGAGAAAACAAUUUAUAAAUGGAUUUUUAAUAGAAAAAUAAUUACUAAAACUUUAUAAAUUCAUAGAAAAUUCAUACUAACUCCAAAUUAAUCCAUUUCAGUUCCUAAAAUUUUGUAUUUUUAUUCUCUAUCACCUAGAGCCUCUGUUUUAUCAUGACCAUAGUAAGAAAAUUAACCUCACACUUAAUCUUACUUAAAGCACAUAAAACCUUUGAAAAUCCAUAACUUAAAUUCUAUAACUCCAAAAAUUAUGAUUCCUGUUCCUAGAAUCUUAUUUUAAUGUCUAGAUUAUCACUGUGUAUUUUAUUUACAUGCUUGGUGUAAUGUUAAUUUUGCCUAUACAAUGUUUGUUUGUAUUGCUACGACUAGAGCGAGGACACGUGUUAUCUGA